RNAcentral lists this transfer RNA (74 nucleotides) under Thermoplasmata archaeon. RNAcentral describes it as "tRNA-Lys". It matches the Rfam family "tRNA". Rfam says of the family: Transfer RNA (tRNA) molecules are approximately 80 nucleotides in length. RNAcentral also lists the same sequence under 3 other names. The record is from RNAcentral. Lineage: Archaea; Methanobacteriati; Thermoplasmatota; Thermoplasmata.
GGGCCAGUAGCUCAGCUAGGUAGAGCGACGGGCUCUUAACCCGUCGGUCAAGGGUUCGAAUCCCUUCUGGCCCG